RNAcentral lists this ribosomal RNA (478 nucleotides) under uncultured bacterium. Its description in RNAcentral is "partial 16S ribosomal RNA". It matches the Rfam family "Bacterial small subunit ribosomal RNA", at positions 28 to 507 of the family's 1533-position model. The record is from RNAcentral.
GAUGAACGCUAGCGGCAGGCCUAACACAUGCAAGUCGAGGGAGAAGCCCUUUCGGGGGCAGAAACCGGCGCACGGGUGCGUAACGCGUAUGCAACCUACCUUUCACAGGGGGAUAGCCCGAAGAAAUUUGGAUUAAUACCCCAUAAUAUUAUUGGAUGGCAUCAUUUGAUAAUUAAAACUGCGGUGGUGAAAGAUGGGCAUGCGUCCUAUUAGCUAGUUGGAGUGGUAACGGCACCCCAAGGCUACGAUAGGUAGGGGUCCUGAGAGCGAGAUCCCCCACACUGGUACUGAGACAGGGACCAGACUCCUACGGGAGGCAGCAGUGAGGAAUAUUGGUCAAUGGUCGGAAGACUGAACCAGCCAUGCCGCGUGCAGGAAGAAUGCCUUAUGGGUUGUAAACUGCUUUUAUAUGGGAAGAAUAAGGCGUACGUGUACGUUGAUGACGGUACCAUAUGAAUAAGCAUCGGCUAACUCCGUG